AAAACACUAGUAAAACAGAAAAUUACACUGCCUUGUCAAGGCNAAAUUGUGGGUUAAAAUCCCGCGUGUNUUA
RNAcentral lists this transfer RNA (73 nucleotides) under Geophagus brasiliensis (pearl cichlid). RNAcentral describes it as "tRNA-Asp". It matches the Rfam family "tRNA". Rfam says of the family: Transfer RNA (tRNA) molecules are approximately 80 nucleotides in length. Their secondary structure includes four short double-helical elements and three loops (D, anti-codon, and T loops). The record is from RNAcentral. Lineage: Eukaryota; Metazoa; Chordata; Actinopteri; Cichliformes; Cichlidae.